CAGUUUGCAGAAGUGGAAACUUUUCUAAUGAGAGAGUGUGAACAAGUGGAGAAGACCAGGCAAAGGUUUGCUGCUGAGCGGGCCCGCAUUCUAUCGUCCCGGAUUGGACCUGCUGGAGCUACUUCACAAAUGAACCUGGCAGGAGUUUCUCCUUCCAUGGUUAACAAUAACAUCGGCAGCAGUAGGCAACAAGUGAUGCCUACCUCUUCUUCACAGCCGACCGUUUCAGGAUAUGGCAACAAUCAACAGAUCCAUCCCCACAUGUCAUUUAUGCAACGGGGACAACCACAGCCAAUGUUUCCAU
Molecule: unclassified non-coding RNA, 304 nt
Filed under: Hevea brasiliensis (rubber tree)
Lineage: Eukaryota; Viridiplantae; Streptophyta; Magnoliopsida; Malpighiales; Euphorbiaceae
Source: RNAcentral